RNAcentral lists this transfer RNA (73 nucleotides) under Camelus bactrianus (Bactrian camel). It matches the Rfam family "tRNA". From Rfam's summary of the family: Transfer RNA (tRNA) molecules are approximately 80 nucleotides in length. Their secondary structure includes four short double-helical elements and three loops (D, anti-codon, and T loops). RNAcentral also lists the same sequence under 2 other names. Lineage: Eukaryota; Metazoa; Chordata; Mammalia; Artiodactyla; Camelidae. The record is from Rfam by way of RNAcentral.
GAGGGUAUAGCUAAAGUGGUAGAGCACAUGCUUAGCAUGCGUGAGGUCCUGGGUUUGAUUCCUAGCACCUCUA